RNAcentral lists this ribosomal RNA (459 nucleotides) under uncultured bacterium. Its description in RNAcentral is "SSU rRNA". It matches the Rfam family "Bacterial small subunit ribosomal RNA", at positions 26 to 518 of the family's 1533-position model. The record is from RNAcentral.
AGAAUCAACGCUGGCGGCGUGCCUAACACAUGCAAGUCGCACGAGAAAAGGACUUCGGUCCUGAGUACAGUGGCGCACGGGUGAGUAACACGUGAAUCAUCUACCUUCGAGUGGGGAAUAACUGAGAGAAAUCUUAGCUAAUACCGCAUAAUACCCACGGGUCAAAGCAGCAAUGCGCUUGAAGAGGAGUUCGCGGCAGAUUAGUUAGUUGGCGGGGUAAUGGCCCACCAAGACGAUGAUCUGUAUCCGGCCUGAGAGGGCGCACGGACACACUGGAACUGAAACACGGUCCAGACUCCUACGGGAGGCAGCAGUGGGGAAUUUUGCGCAAUGGGGGAAACCCUGACGCAGCAACGCCGCGUGGAGGAUGAAAUCCCUUGGGAUGUAAACUCCUUUCGAUAGGGAAGAUAAUGACGGUACCUAUAGAAGAAGCCCGGCUAACUUCGCGCCAGCAGCCGC